Long non-coding RNA from Gopherus evgoodei (Goodes thornscrub tortoise), 665 nucleotides. RefSeq lists it as uncharacterized. NCBI's taxonomy places the organism in Eukaryota, Metazoa, Chordata, Testudines, Testudinidae. The record is from RefSeq and is a predicted model, not a curated record. The transcript is spliced from 4 exons.
CUCUGGAGCGGAAGUGACGUUGGGCAGGGGGAGAACAAGCCGGGCUCCUGCGGGUCCGUUGGAGCCUCUCCCGGGACCGGAGAAAGGUGCUGGCAAGGGUCAUCAUGGUGCACCUUGCUCAUCUCCUUAUGAAAAAUUAUCAUGGAUGACAUGUCGCUAUCCGAUUGGCGCUUGGCGGCUGUGCCAACAGACCCUUCUUCCGUAUAAUGGCCGCAUGUAACAAGCGAGCACGGGACAGCAAGUAUUUGGAGCAAGUGGGCUGCUAUGACCCACUCCCAAAUAGCCAUAAUGAAAAGCUUGUUGGCUUGAACAUCGAGAGGAUCAAAGACUGGAUUGGUUGUGGAGCACGUCACAAAACCAGUUGAAAAACUUCUAGAUCUUUCUAGAUUUUUCCCAUUGCAUCCUAUGACGAUCACAAAUGCAGAAAGAUUAAGGAAGAGAAGAGCCUUGAAGGCCGAAACAGCUUCUGAGGAAGAAACUCCAGGUGACCAAUAACAUCUAUCUGAACUGAAUUACUCAAAAGAUUACUGUACAGACAACGAUCAGAACAGGGUGCCAACUAAAAAGGACAAUAUACAUACCACAGGCAAAAACGAUAGUGGAUAUGAAUUAUUUCAUAAGAACAUUAAAGUAUUUUGAGGCUUCAGGAGGCCUCAGACAAGGAU